GACGAACGCUGGCGGCGUGCCUAAUACAUGCAAGUCGAACGCAGGGGGGACGGGCGAGUAACACGUGGGUAACCUCCCAUCAGAGGGGAUAACACUUGGAAACAGGUGCUAAACCGAUACUGAUGGAUGGACCCGCGGUGCAUUAGCUAGUUGGUGAGGUAACGGCUCACCAAGGCCACGAUGCAUAGCCGACCUGGGAGGAUGAUCGGCCACACUGGGACUGAGACACGGCCCAGACUCCUACGGGAGGCAGCAGUAGGGAAUCUUCGGCAAUGGACGAAAGUCUGACCGAGCAAUGCCGCGUGUGUGAAGAAGGUUUUCGGAUCGUAAAUCUCUGUUAUUAGGGAAGCGUUAUCUAACCAAGAAGCCACGGCUAACUACGUGCCAGCCGCCGCGGUAAUUC
RNAcentral lists this ribosomal RNA (403 nucleotides) under uncultured bacterium. RNAcentral describes it as "partial 16S ribosomal RNA". It matches the Rfam family "Bacterial small subunit ribosomal RNA", at positions 28 to 526 of the family's 1533-position model. The record is from RNAcentral.